This 795-nucleotide ribosomal RNA is filed under the name Arthrobacter sp. M060824-10. RNAcentral describes it as "bacterial SSU rRNA". It matches the Rfam family "Bacterial small subunit ribosomal RNA", at positions 53 to 852 of the family's 1533-position model. RNAcentral also lists the same sequence under 1 other name. Lineage: Bacteria; Bacillati; Actinomycetota; Actinomycetes; Micrococcales; Micrococcaceae. The record is from RNAcentral.
CCAUGCAGUCGAACGAUGAUCCGGUGCUUGCGCCGGGGAUUAGUGGCGAACGGGUGAGUAACACGUGAGUAACCUGCCCUUGACUCUGGGAUAAGCCUGGGAAACUGGGUCUAAUACCGGAUAUGACUCCUCAUCGCAUGGUGGGGGGUGGAAAGCUUUUUGUGGUUUUGGAUGGACUCGCGGCCUAUCAGCUUGUUGGUGGGGUAAUGGCCUACCAAGGCGACGACGGGUAGCCGGCCUGAGAGGGUGACCGGCCACACUGGGACUGAGACACGGCCCAGACUCCUACGGGAGGCAGCAGUGGGGAAUAUUGCACAAUGGGCGAAAGCCUGAUGCAGCGACGCCGCGUGAGGGAUGACGGCCUUCGGGUUGUAAACCUCUUUCAGUAGGGAAGAAGCCCUCUUUGGGGGUGACGGUACUUGCAGAAGAAGCGCCGGCUAACUACGUGCCAGCAGCCGCGGUAAUACGUAGGGCGCAAGCGUUAUCCGGAAUUAUUGGGCGUAAAGAGCUCGUAGGCGGUUUGUCGCGUCUGCUGUGAAAGACCGGGGCUCAACUCCGGUUCUGCAGUGGGUACGGGCAGACUAGAGUGCAGUAGGGGAGACUGGAAUUCCUGGUGUAGCGGUGAAAUGCGCAGAUAUCAGGAGGAACACCGAUGGCGAAGGCAGGUCUCUGGGCUGUAACUGACGCUGAGGAGCGAAAGCAUGGGGAGCGAACAGGAUUAGAUACCCUGGUAGUCCAUGCCGUAAACGUUGGGCACUAGGUGUGGGGGACAUUCCACGUUUUCCGCGUCGUAGC